UACGUAGGGUGCAAGCGUUAAUCGGAAUUACUGGGUGUAAAGCGUGCGCAGGCGGCUUUGCAUGACAGAUGUGAAAUCCCCGGGCUUAACCUGGGAACUGCAUUUGUGACUGUAGAGCUGGAGUACGGCAGAGGGGGAUGGAAUUCCGCGUGUAGCAGUGAAAUGCGUAGAUAUGCGGAGGAACACCGAUGGCGAAGGCAAUCCCCUGGGCCUGUACUGACGCUCAUGCACGAAAGCGUGGGGAGCAAACAGG
Molecule: ribosomal RNA, 253 nt
Filed under: uncultured bacterium
Lineage: Bacteria
Description: partial 16S ribosomal RNA
Rfam family: Bacterial small subunit ribosomal RNA
Source: RNAcentral